This 2328-nucleotide ribosomal RNA is filed under the name Vibrio parahaemolyticus. RNAcentral describes it as "partial 23S ribosomal RNA". It matches the Rfam family "Bacterial large subunit ribosomal RNA", at positions 613 to 2925 of the family's 2925-position model. Lineage: Bacteria; Pseudomonadati; Pseudomonadota; Gammaproteobacteria; Vibrionales; Vibrionaceae. The record is from RNAcentral.
UAAUGGGUCAGCGACUUAUAUUCAGUGGCAAGGUUAACCAUCUAGGGGAGCCGUAGGGAAACCGAGUCUUAACUGGGCGUUCAGUCUCUGGAUAUAGACCCGAAACCAGGUGAUCUAGCCAUGGGCAGGUUGAAGGUUGAGUAACAUCAACUGGAGGACCGAACCGACUAAUGUUGAAAAAUUAGCGGAUGACUUGUGGCUAGGGGUGAAAGGCCAAUCAAACCUGGAGAUAGCUGGUUCUCCCCGAAAGCUAUUUAGGUAGCGCCUCGGACGAAUACUACUGGGGGUAGAGCACUGUUAAGGCUAGGGGGUCAUCCCGACUUACCAACCCUUUGCAAACUCCGAAUACCAGUAAGUACUAUCCGGGAGACACACGGCGGGUGCUAACGUCCGUCGUGGAGAGGGAAACAACCCAGACCGCCAGCUAAGGUCCCAAAUUACUACUAAGUGGGAAACGAUGUGGGAAGGCUCAGACAGCCAGGAUGUUGGCUUAGAAGCAGCCAUCAUUUAAAGAAAGCGUAAUAGCUCACUGGUCGAGUCGGCCUGCGCGGAAGAUGUAACGGGGCUAAGUAGUAAACCGAAGCUGCGGCAAUAUACUUUUGUAUAUUGGGUAGGGGAGCGUUCUGUAAGCGGUUGAAGGUGUGUGGUAACGCAUGCUGGACGUAUCAGAAGUGCGAAUGCUGACAUGAGUAACGAUAAAGGGGGUGAAAAACCUCCUCGCCGGAAGACCAAGGGUUCCUGUCCAACGUUAAUCGGGGCAGGGUAAGUCGACCCCUAAGGCGAGGCCGAAAGGCGUAGUCGAUGGGAAACGGGUUAAUAUUCCCGUACUUCUUACAAUUGCGAUGGGGGGACGGAGAAGGCUAGGUGGGCCUGGCGACGGUUGUCCAGGUUCAAGUGCGUAGGCUUAAGAGUUAGGUAAAUCCGGCUCUUUUUAAGGCUGAGACACGACGUCGAGCACCUACGGGUGUGAAGUCAUUGAUGCCAUGCUUCCAGGAAAAGCCUCUAAGCUUCAGAUUGUAAGGAAUCGUACCCCAAACCGACACAGGUGGUCGGGUAGAGAAUACCAAGGCGCUUGAGAGAACUCGGGUGAAGGAACUAGGCAAAAUGGUACCGUAACUUCGGGAGAAGGUACGCUCUUGAUGGUGAAGUCCCUUGCGGAUGGAGCUGACGAGAGUCGCAGAUACCAGGUGGCUGCAACUGUUUAUUAAAAACACAGCACUGUGCAAAAUCGUAAGAUGACGUAUACGGUGUGACGCCUGCCCGGUGCCGGAAGGUUAAUUGAUGGGGUUAGACUUCGGUCGAAGCUCUUGAUCGAAGCCCCGGUAAACGGCGGCCGUAACUAUAACGGUCCUAAGGUAGCGAAAUUCCUUGUCGGGUAAGUUCCGACCUGCACGAAUGGCGUAAUGAUGGCCACGCUGUCUCCACCCGAGACUCAGUGAAAUUGAAAUCGCUGUGAAGAUGCAGUGUACCCGCGGCUAGACGGAAAGACCCCGUGAACCUUUACUACAGCUUGGCACUGAACAUUGACCCUACAUGUGUAGGAUAGGUGGGAGGCUUUGAAGCACGUACGCCAGUAUGUGUGGAGCCGUCCUUGAAAUACCACCCUUGUAGUGUUGAUGUUCUAACGUCGACCCCUUAUCGGGGUUGCGGACAGUGCCUGGUGGGUAGUUUGACUGGGGCGGUCUCCUCCCAAAGAGUAACGGAGGAGCACGAAGGUGGGCUAAUCACGGUUGGACAUCGUGAGGUUAGUGCAAUGGCAUAAGCCCGCUUGACUGCGAGAAUGACAAUUCGAGCAGGUGCGAAAGCAGGUCAUAGUGAUCCGGUGGUUCUGAAUGGAAGGGCCAUCGCUCAACGGAUAAAAGGUACUCCGGGGAUAACAGGCUGAUACCGCCCAAGAGUUCAUAUCGACGGCGGUGUUUGGCACCUCGAUGUCGGCUCAUCACAUCCUGGGGCUGAAGUCGGUCCCAAGGGUAUGGCUGUUCGCCAUUUAAAGUGGUACGCGAGCUGGGUUUAGAACGUCGUGAGACAGUUCGGUCCCUAUCUGCCGUGGGCGUUGGAAGAUUGAAGGGGGCUGCUCCUAGUACGAGAGGACCGGAGUGGACGAACCUCUGGUGUUCGGGUUGUGUCGCCAGACGCAUUGCCCGGUAGCUAAGUUCGGAAUCGAUAACCGCUGAAAGCAUCUAAGCGGGAAGCGAGCCCUGAGAUGAGUCUUCCCUGAUACUUUAAGUAUCCUAAAGGGUUGUCGGAGACUACGACGUUGAUAGGUCAGGUGUGUAAGUGCUGUGAGGCAUUGAGCUAACUGAUACUAAUUGCCCGUGAGGCUUAACC